RNAcentral lists this unclassified non-coding RNA (250 nucleotides) under Glomus sp. Its description in RNAcentral is "partial internal transcribed spacer 2". Lineage: Eukaryota; Fungi; Glomeromycota; Glomeromycetes; Glomerales; Glomeraceae. The record is from RNAcentral.
GUGAAUCAUCAAAUUUUUGAACGCACAUUGCACUCUCUUCUGAUCCGAUGCCUGUUUGAGGGUCAGCCUAAAAAAAAUCGACAUAGUCGCUGUUUCGCGUUUACAUGCGUCGGAAAUUGGGUCAUCUUCAACCUUUGGCUUUUAAGCCGCUUAAAAUUUUCCUUACGAUUCCACGAACGUGUCUAAUAUUUACUUCUUAUACGUUGAAGGUAUCGAUCUUUAUUAGACGUGGACGUUGCAUCAACUUUCG